This 113-nucleotide ribosomal RNA is filed under the name Escherichia coli. RNAcentral also lists the same sequence under 416 other names. Lineage: Bacteria; Pseudomonadati; Pseudomonadota; Gammaproteobacteria; Enterobacterales; Enterobacteriaceae. The record is from RNAcentral.
GGCGGCAGUAGCGCGGUGGUCCCACCUGACCCCAUGCCGAACUCAGAAGUGAAACGCCGUAGCGCCGAUGGUAGUGUGGGGUCUCCCCAUGCGAGAGUAGGGAACUGCCAGAC